RNAcentral lists this ribosomal RNA (1282 nucleotides) under human gut metagenome. Its description in RNAcentral is "bacterial LSU rRNA". It matches the Rfam family "Bacterial large subunit ribosomal RNA", at positions 1129 to 2465 of the family's 2925-position model. The record is from RNAcentral.
AGUGCGUAAUAGCUCACUGGUCGAGUGAAGUUGCGCGGAAAAUUACCGGGGCUAAACUAUACACCGAAAUUGCGGAUUUAUACGAUAGUAUAAGUGGUAGAGGAGCAUUCUAUAGUAGGACGAAGCAUGACUGAAAAGACAUGUGGACGAGAUAGAAGAGAGAAUGCCGGAAUAAGUAGCGAAAGCAUGGUGAGAAUCCAUGCCAUCGAAAGUCUAAGGUUUCCUGGGGAAGGUUCGUCCGCCCAGGGUAAGUCGGGACCUAAGGUGAGGCCGAAAGGCGUAGCCGAUGGACAGCAGGUAGAAAUUCCUGCACCACCGAUAUACUUAAAAAGCACAAGGGACACAGGAGUGGAAGAGAAGCGAGGAAGAGGAAAGACUCGUAUCGAAAGAUAUAGUGAAAAUAAAGUAACGAAUUCUCAAGAAGCACACUGGCGAGAAAAGCUUGUGAGUCUUGUAUAUAGGUGCCCGUACCGCAAACCGACACAGGUAGAUGAGGAGAGGAUCCUAAGAUGAGCGAGAGAAGCAUUGUUAAGGAACUCGGCAAACUAACCCCGUAACUUAGGGAGAAGGGGUACCAUAGUAAAAUAUGGUCGCAGAGAAGAGUCCCAAGCAACUGUUUAACAAAAACACAGGUUUCUGCUAAAUCGAAAGAUGAAGUAUAGGAGCUGACGCCUGCCCAGUGCUGGAAGGUCAAGGGGAGAUGUUAGAAGAAAUUCGAAGCAUAGAACCAAAGCCCCAGUGAACGGCGGCCGUAACUAUAACGGUCCUAAGGUAGCGAAAUUCCUUGUCAGGUAAGUUCUGACCCGCACGAAAGGUGUAAUGAUUUGGGCGCUGUCUCGACAAUGUACUCGGCGAAAUUGUAGUACUAGUGAAGAUGCUAGUUACCUGCGACAAGACAGAAAGACCCCAUGGAGCUUUACUGUAGCUUGAUACUGGGUUUUGAUAAUUUAUGUACAGGAUAGGUGGGAUACUAAGAAGCAUUUGCGCCAGCAGAUGUGGAGUAGACGUUGGGAUACCACCCUUAAGUUAUUGAAAUUCUAACCAUUCGUCAUAAACUGGCGAGGGGACAAUGUCAGGCGGGCAGUUUGACUGGGGCGGUCGCCUCCAAAAGAGUAACGGAGGCGCGCAAAGGUUUCCUCAGCACGGACAGAAAUCGUGCGAAAGAGUGCAAAGGCAGAAGGAAGCUUAACUGAGAGACUGACAAGUCGACCAGAUACGAAAGUAGGUCUUAGUGAUCCGGCGGUAGUGAGUGGAAAUGCCGUCGCUCAACGGACAAAAGUUA